Molecule: long non-coding RNA, 522 nt
Filed under: Mytilus galloprovincialis (Mediterranean mussel)
Lineage: Eukaryota; Metazoa; Mollusca; Bivalvia; Mytilida; Mytilidae
Source: RNAcentral
AAUUUCGGUAUAAAGAAUACAAUACAGCCUAAAACAUAAGCUAUUUAGAACUUUUGAAACCGACACACAAAAAAGUAAAAACAUAACAAAGAACAGCAGAAAAACAUGCAAGAACACGGACAUAAGUUUAUCAACACAUACACAUGCCUACCAUAUCAACCAUAUCAGUGAUGAAUAGCAGAAUCAAAAAAGAUAUUAGCAAAGCUUAAAACUAAAUAAGCACUUGAUGUACCAAGCACAAAAUGAAAUAUCAAUCAAUCUCUUGUCGUUUUAAAAAAUUACUCCAGAAAAAAAAAUGAUACAAACUGAAAGAACUAGUUUGACACAUUUUAACAUUUUAACAUGAAAUGAAUAAAAUUAUUUUUUAACUAUCUAAAGCUAGUGCUGCCAAUGUCCGACCCAAAAUGACCCUAAACGUAUUUUUUUUUUUUUUAUUACAAAUGCAUUUUUUUUAUAACAAAUGCAAUUUUACGUGACCUAUAAAUUUACCCAGAUGAAACAUAUUACGAAAAAUCGCACGUG